This is a long non-coding RNA of Pseudopipra pipra, 5204 nucleotides long. RefSeq lists it as uncharacterized. The record is from RefSeq and is a predicted model, not a curated record. Lineage: Eukaryota; Metazoa; Chordata; Aves; Passeriformes; Pipridae. The transcript has 6 exons.
UCUCGGUGCGCCCGCGGGAUUUGAGGGGGAUGGAGGCGCGUCGGGUCAUGAGGAGCUGCGCGGCGCGACGUCUCGCGAGAUCUCGUGGGACAGGCGGUGAUCGAGGGUGAAGCUGCUCGUCGGGUCCCGAGAUGAGAGAUAUCGCGAGAUCUCAGCGCGCCUGCCAGUCUGAGGGGCCGGGCAGCGCGAAGUCUCGCGAGAUCGCUAGGCUCCGCUGCUGUGAGGGGAAUGGAGGCUCCUCGGGUCGUGAGGGUCCGAGCGGCGCCAAGUCUCGCGAGAUCUGAGCGUACCUGCUGGUCUGAGGAGCCGGGCGCAGCGUAGUCUCGCGAGAUCUCCGGCAACGGCCGCCCGUGCUGCCCUGAGGGGGAACAGCGAGAAGGAGGCUCCGAACCUGCCCUGCGCCCUCCAUGUCCCCUCACAGUCCCCCUACCCCUCGUGACCACACCAGGGAGGUGUCUCCCAGCGCCCUCAGUGAGGCUUAGGCCCCCCUCACAUCCCCCGGUGCUCAGGUAGCUCUGCCCGCCUUGCAGAUGUAGGAGUUCCUUUAAGGCAGCACAAAGACAGCAGGAAAGGCAGCGAAAACCCUCAAAAACCGCUUGCUGAGGCCGGGAUUUGUGUGCACAAACCUCCAACAAAGACUGUUCAGGGGUGGUCACUGGAGAGGCAUCAGGAGAGAGCCAGAGGACAGGGAGAGGUCUGGAGGCUGGGAAGGCUCAGGGAGAGGGGGAGUCUCCAGGUCUGGGUCACAGUUCUGCUCCAAUUUGCUCUCAAGCACCAGAAGGAAGAAUUGCAGCUCUCAGCCCAGCCCACACCAACAGGCACAGGCCCCAGGAUGUAAUCGGGAGGGAAGAUAAUUCCAGGAAGAGUUUCACAGCUCAUGAACACCCAGUGCCUGUAAACCUGUGGGGUUUUUGCAUCAGAGGGGGCAAAGUGACCACGAGUGAGGAGGUGAGGGCCAGGGAGGUGCUGCAGGACUCACCUCCUCCCUGGCAAUGGUCAUGUUGUCCUGCACGUUCCCAAAGACCGUGGGCUGGAUGAAGUAGCCCCUGUCGGCAGCGGCGUUGCCACCACACAGCAGUUUGGCUCCCUCGCGCUUCCCAGAGCUGAUGUAACCCAGGAUCUUCUUGAAUUGCUCUUCAUCCACCUGUGAGCCAUGAGGACACACAUCAGCUCCACCUCCACUGGGGGGAAAGUAGAUUCUGCUCCCACCUGCUGUGCUCCAGCAGUUCCCAAUCCAACAGAGUGCCCAGCCAGCUUCAAAGGGAGCAUUUUUAAAUGCCAGCGUCAAGUGGAGGUUGUGGAAUCAUCAGAAUGGUUAAUUAACCUUUCCCCCUGCACAAGCAAGGAGAUCAUGGGACAGUUCAAAGGAGGUUAAUCAAGAGACUGAAGGAUAAUUCCAUUCUAAUCUAGUGACACACUAUGGCUCAGGAUUGGGACUAUUCCAUGAGGUAACAGCUGAGGGCAUUUCCUGCUCUUACCUGAGGCCCCUGCUCAGUUUUAAAGUCGAAGGGGUUUCCGACCACCCUGGCCUUGGCCUUCUCAACACUCCUCUCCACAAACUCAUUGUAAAUGUCCUCCUGGACGUACGUGCGGGACCCGGCACAGCAGCACUGCCCUUGGUUGAAGAACAGGGCGAAGUGGGCUUGAUCCACUGCCCAGUCCACUAAGAGUGGGGAGAGGAGAGAAAACAAAUCAGCAAAUAAACCCAACCAAAGUCAGAAGAUGACUUCUUUGGAACAAUUAUCACAGACUGAUGGGGGUAAAAUGUCCUGUCAGUUGGCAGCGUUUUCCAUGCUUUGGUGUGGCAGAAGUUACAUACAUACUUCAUUCAUAUGAGGGUCUAUUAAGGCACCCCAUACUAGACAAAAAUACCUAAUCUGAGGCAGAUUACAGCCCUAAUUUGAAUUUGUCAGGUAUUAAGGACAAAUUUUUUUAGAUCCAGAAGAAUUUCCUCCCUCACUGCCAUAUAAAAACACAUUUCUUGGUUCAUCAGGACCAAAAAUGAGACAGUAUGCAAGGGAGGAGGGAACCAGGACUUCUUAAGUGUAGGGAAGAGUGGUGUGCUCCAAGAGAAACAGAAAUUAAACCAAAAAUGGAGCAAAGACUGAGGGAAGAUAUACUGAAACAACAGGUUGUUGACAACUGAACUUCACAGCACUGGGAAAAAAAAAGUGGGAUUAGAGCAGUGCUGAUACUCUGGGUGAGACCAGCCCAGGGGAGUCAGGGCUGGACAGCAGAGGUUUCCUUUCCUUUCCCCUCCAGCUCUGCUGGCAGAAAGUCAAGGUAAAAGGCACAGAUCAAACUUUACACAGCAGGGACUCACUGUCUGCAUCGGACAUGAUGAUAUUGGGGCUCUUCCCUCCAAGCUCCAGGGUCACCCUCUUCAGGUUACUCUCUGCUGCAGCUUUCUGGAUCAGGUGCCCAACCUGCAGGAGAGCAGAGCAGGGGCUGGAAUUGACUCCUCCAUCAGCAAAGCCUGGCAGGGCACUGGGUUUACACCUCAGUCAGCACUUCAGUAAUAAUCCCCUCAUUGUCAGGGCUGUAAGGCUGCCCAGUUUCACCUCCAGUAAGAAGCAGCUUAAGGGAAACAAUGGGAAAUAUUCUAAAGAACAAAAUAAGAAUAAGAGUCUUAUGUCAUGCAAAAAUAAAUGUCACACCCUGGAAUCAGCUGUGGUUUUUAAAAUGAAAUGUAGAAGGCAAAGCACCUCCAGUAUUUUACACAGAAAAGGCAAACACCUCCAGUGUUUUAUACAGCAACGGUGUUCCAGCAGUGAGAUAUUCCCUGCAUCCCAAGGGCUGGAAGGUUGAGGUGCUCCCUUACCUCUGUGGAGCCAGUGAAAGCCACUUUAUCAAUGUCCAUGUGGGAGGAGAUGGCAGCCCCUGCCGUGGGCCCAUAGCCAGGGAUGAUGUUCACCACUCCUGGUGGGAAUCCAGCCUGACAAUUCCCAGGAGACAGCAAUGUUAUUCCUCUUACAAAUCAAGGAUUUCACCUCCACCCCUCUGUUAGUGACCCUCAGUCAGCCUCCCACCAGGAGCAGAGCAUUUCCACUUCACUUUCACUUUGGGAAAUUAAAAUUGGUUUGGAGUUUUAAUGCUCAGUUUGCAAUGACCAGGACAGCUCCUCUCCCCACCCACAUCUCAAGCACAGUUUGGAUCUAUAUAUACAUACACAUAUAUAUAUAUAUGUUCACUUCCUAAUCACCCUGGAGUUCAUUAUUUAAGUGAACCUCAAAGAGUCCUUCCCUAAUCAACAUCUACAUUCUCUACAUACACAUUUAUAAGGACAAAAGGGGUCGGGUUUUUUUGUUAAAUCAAUGCUAAGAGACCCAAGACAAUCCAGCCUCUCUGCAGAGCAGACAGCUCCUCCCUGUUCCUGCCACAUCCCAGUGUGAGUGAAUCUCUCCCCACUCCAGCAGGGGAUGGAAGCCUGGCCUUGGCACUCACCUCUUUGAUCAGACUGGCCACGUAGAGGCCACUCAGGGGGGUUUGCUCUGCCACCUUCAUCACCACCACGUUCCCAGUGGCCAGGGCAGGCCCCAGUUUCCAGGCUUGCAUCAACAGUGGGAAGUUCCACUGAAAAACAAGGAGGGAUUUGCUGGUCUGAACUGGAAAGUUUCUGAUUAUUCAGCAGCAGAUACAAAGUAAAUGUUACUCAGAGCCCAUGAAAUCAACUCCCAGAGUGAAGGAAGAGCCCUCCCAGCUGGUGCAAGCAGAGCUUUGUUUACCACAGAGAGGAAGCAGUGGUGCAGCAACAGAUAGUAACUUAGUAACACUGAAUUCUUGAAAUGCUGCAGGAGCUACUGUUACAUUUAACUUACUGGGAUUAUCUGUCCACAGACUCCCACUGGCUCGUGUCUCGUGUAGCAGAAGAAGUCUCCAUCUAGCGGGAUGGUUUUCCCAUGGAAUUUAUCCGACCAGCCUGCACAAUAUCUGGAGACAAUAAUGUUUUGGUCACUGAAUUUAAAACAACCAGUCAUUACAAAAUAACAAGUGUCCUGUCAACAGAAAACAAGAGCAACUUCCUCCAGGUAUUUGCUUCCUUCCCAUUUUCAGUCACUUCCUAAAACACACCCCAAUGCAAAUAUUUCCCAAAAAGGGGAUGUUAAGGGUGGCCAGUAAAUGCAAAUAUUUGUGCCUUCCAUUUUUGCCAGCACUUUGCACAGCAUAGGUUCUGUCAUUCUUGUGCUGUUAAUGAAUCACCACCAUUAGUGUGAGACCUGUGUAUAACAUGAGACAAUGUACAGUUAACAAACCUUUGGAAAGCCACAGGAAUUACAGUAAAAGGUAAACCCAAGGUGUCUGACACUCUGCUAUGGGCCAGAUGAAACCACCAGUCAGCUCCAGACCCCACAGCCCCUGAAUGGGAGGGACCUGGUCCUGCCCCUGCAGAGGUUUGUUUGCCACGGGCCAGCUGUGGCUGUCACCUCACACCCACCUGAGACACUUGACCACCAUGUCCAGAUCCACCAGGUAGGAGAUGGCGUAGGGUUUGCCGUUGUCCAGAGUCUCCAGAGCCUGCGAAAGACAACAGCGGGUGAGGGGGGAAACUCAAGUGUACGGUUUGACUCGGUUUGUAAUUUGCAGUCUGGAUCUGUCCUGCAUGUUGGCCUUUUGCUUCCAGCUUCCCAAAAGUACCUCCCCACCCUUCACAGCCCUGUCCCAGCCUGAGCUGUGGGUGAAGCCCCUGGGACACACAGUGGACACCAACUCCCGUGGGCAGAGCUGGGUCACGGAGCACAACACUCACUGCCAGGUAGGCCCGGUCCCGCUCGAUCAGGUCGGCGAGGCGGUGCAGCAGCUUCCCCCGCUGGGAAGCAUCCAUCCUCCUCCAGGGAGAGCCCAGCUGGAACGCUGCCUUGGCUGCCUUCACUGCCUUGUCCACAUCUGCCUGCGGAGGAGGCCAGGAAGAAGGUCCAAAACAGGAGCGCGAGUGCAAAGAUCGCGGUGAUCGCGCAGAGCUCGCCGAACAUUCAGCCAACCACCGCCAGCCUGGCCACAGCGAUCGGGGAGGAGUGGAAUUCCUUGGGAGAGGAAUGCUGCCUUCCCAGCACCCCGCACAGAUGCCUUGUGCAACUUCAGGCUCCCAAGUGCAGGUUCACGUGCAGGGAACAGGGGGGUGCUCACGUUAUCAUCACCAUCACUAAGGAAGCCACAGACCAAAAACAUCAAGAGUUUUUAACCUCCCAAAGAAACCUGUGGUAUUA